UACAGAGGUCUCAAGCGUUGUUCGGAUUCAUUGGGCGUAAAGGGUGCGUAGGCGGCGCGGUAAGUCGGGUGUGAAAUCUCGGAGCUUAACUCCGAAACUGCAUUCGAUACUGCCGUGCUUGAGGACUGGAGAGGAGACUGGAAUUUACGGUGUAGCGGUGAAAUGCGUAGAUAUCGUAAGGAAGACCAGUGGCGAAGGCGGCGACCUGGACAGGUACUGACACUCAACUACGAAAGCGUGGGGAGCAAACAGG
RNAcentral lists this ribosomal RNA (253 nucleotides) under uncultured bacterium. RNAcentral's name for it is "partial 16S ribosomal RNA". It matches the Rfam family "Bacterial small subunit ribosomal RNA", at positions 524 to 776 of the family's 1533-position model. The record is from RNAcentral.